Long non-coding RNA from Ipomoea nil (Japanese morning glory), 101 nucleotides. RefSeq lists it as uncharacterized. Lineage: Eukaryota; Viridiplantae; Streptophyta; Magnoliopsida; Solanales; Convolvulaceae. The transcript has 3 exons. The record is from RefSeq and is a predicted model, not a curated record.
UAUUUGAUCAUAUAAGUAUUACAUUUGAGCAUAUAAGUAUGACAUUUGCAUGAUGAUUCGGCCCAACCCGACUCGUCUCACGAAUAAGGAUUCGUGAGACG